Molecule: long non-coding RNA, 2588 nt
Filed under: Mytilus galloprovincialis (Mediterranean mussel)
Lineage: Eukaryota; Metazoa; Mollusca; Bivalvia; Mytilida; Mytilidae
Source: RNAcentral
AUUCUUGAUCUGUUUUGGCUGACAGUCUUACCAAAUAUGUACAUGCAGUACUUAAUAGAAUUAUAAGCAGUACUUAAUAUAAUUAUAAGCCAGGUAUCUUAGGAACUUUGAUGGGUUAUUCAUAUAUUUCUCUUAUUGUGUAUAUUAUUGGUCUUUAUAUAAGAUAAUGGUAACAGGGGUUGUUCAGUUGAAACCAGCACCUGGCAGGUACCUUCGAUCUUAUGAAUUGACUAGGAUUUUCAAUUUUUAUAACUUCAAUUUGGAUCAUUUGGUGGUUCCUUCCUUGCACACUUCCUUGCUCUACCAACAAAAACUGAAUCCAUUAGUCCUGAAAGUGGUGUUAAACCACUAAUUAAUCCAAUCAAAUCUUACUCAUGAUAUAUAAAAUGGUAGCCAUUUGGAUUCCUUGUAUUUUAAUCAGUUUAUUUGAAAACAUGUAUCAGUUUGACAUAAUAAACAAUAACCUAUGUUUCAUAUAGGAAAUGUUGAUUCAUUCUACAUUUUUCUCAUAAAAUGAGUAUGUGUGGACCUUGUGGUAUAUUUUUAUCCCCCCGUGGUAGUGGAGGUUUUUUUUAAAUUUAAUUGCUGCAAUUGCUAUCUGUUGAAAUUAUGAAAAAAACAACAGUUAAUUUUUAUAUCAUUUAUUAAUGAUGAAAAUAAAUAAAUCAUUCUUUGUACAAAUACAGUUAUUUAUAUAAACAUAAAUUUAGUUAAAAAAUUACUUUUGCAUGAAAAUCUUUUUUAUUUACAUGUACAUGUUUUGCUUAUAAAAAAAUGUUACUCAUUUUAAAUACACACAUAUAUGUCCAUACUGAGACUUUUCAUUCAAUCACACAAAAAAGUCUUUUCAAUUUUUUACAAUUUUUUCCCCUGAUAUCAAUUAAUUGAAUUAUUGUCUUGAUUCAUUUUAAUACAUUUGUAAAGCUAUAUCAAAACUCAUUAAUGCUGUGUUUAUAAAAGUUAUAGAAGAUCCUUGCAUUCCAUAUGUUUAAUUUCAAUAUUCAGUUUUAUGUAUAAUGCAUAACACUUCAUGGGGUAAGGACCAUUGUUUUUGUUAGUCUCCAUCAUGUUCCCUUAGCUUGUGUUAGAUAUUCUUUUACAGAAUUAAGAUUAAGGGGAGUUAAUACAGUUUCAGGGGAGAUAAUACAGUUUCAGGGGAGAUAAUUGUUACUAUUUAUUUUAGGCAAUACUCUCAAUAAUUUAACAGAAUCUGAAUUCUGAACUGUAAACCUUGAAAGUUAAUAAUUGGAAAAAUAAACUUACUUGGUCAACUUUUGUGGGGUUUUUUUUUAAAUUUAAAAAACCACAAUGAAUGCUCUCUCAUAUAAUCCUGAGUUUAAAACAUAUAUAGAAUAAAACAUAAAAAUUAAGGAAUGACAAUUUAAAUAAUGCUUUUCUUAUAUAAAGACUUCAUUAGAUAUAGAUACAUAUCUAGAAAAUUAAUAAUGAAUAGUCUGUACGUCUAUCUGAAGUAAGAUGCAGAUUUACAUAAAAAAAGAAAAAAAAAUGAUUAAAAGAGUAAAAGAUGUUUAGAUAUAAUGUUUGAUUUCAGUUCAACUCACAACCAUACACAAUAUCAAACACAAUUUCAUACAUACACAUACUUUAAAAUACAACAGAUCAUCUUUUAUUUUAUUCUAUAUUUUAGCGUUUUUUUUUAUAUCAAAUGUAGCAAAGAAUUUUCACAAGUUAAUUUCUAUUUGUUUAUCAUUAUUUGACACAUCAGAUCAAAUCCACAUCAUUUGGUCUCUGUUUGAUCGUUGUAAAAUUGGCAAUUUAUUAUAUAUUGUAAAUCAACUAAUUUUCGUCUUUAGUCCUUUAUAGUCCAAUUCCCUCAAUUUAUUUUCACGAUUUUCAAAUUUACUUUAUGUAAAUAGUACUUAACAGGAAAGUUCCAAAUUUCACAUACCGCGAAAAAAUGUCUGAUGCUACAGUGGCAAAAUGACAAGUCAGUAAUGUCAAAUUUAAACAUCUUUUAUGUAUCACUGAAUUCAUAAAUCAAAUAAUUGGUGAAAUGCUGAUUAAUUACUUUUGACCUUGAAAACCUAUAACCUUGAAAACAUAAUACCCACUUGGGCACACAAAAUAAUACUGAUAAUUGAUAUCUCAUUGAGCUGAAGAGAAUAAUAUUUUAAAGAAACUACUGCUUAAAAGAGAAUAAAAUAUUGACAGUGUUUUGUGCUUUAUUUAAUGAAAAUUGCAAAACAAUAUGAACUUAAAAAUUGUCUUAACCCUUAUUUCCAAUUCAGUUUUUUGAACAUAUAAAUAUGUUACCAGAAACUUUUUUGUCAUGCACUAAUUUUUCUGGAGUUUGCAUUUAUAAAGAUUAAGGUUUGACAAUAAAUGCAAUCUCUUAAAUUAGCCUCUAAAUCUUAUUUCAAGUCAGAUUUUACAAUAAAUAUAAUAGAAUGAUUUUAUAUUCUGAAAUUAUUUGAUUUUUACACAUAGAUAUAUUGCACAUUACUAAAUUUAUCAUGUAAUACUUUCAUAAACAUAUCUAUACUUUUGGUAUUAAAUAAGAUUUUUGUCUCCAAAUGACCUUAUAUAUGUCUCUGAACUACCUAGUUACAAUUAUUAAUAUAAAAUUA